CGACUAAGCGUACACGGUGGAUGCCCUGGCAGUCAGAGGCGAUGAAGGACGUGCUAAUCUGCGAAAAGCGUCGGUAAGGUGAUAUGAACCGUUACAGCCGGCGAUGUCCGAAUGGGGAAACCCAGUGCAAUUCGUUGCACUAUCGUUAACUGAAUACAUAGGUUAACGAGGACGUGCUAAUCUGCGAAAAGCGUCGGUAAGGUGAUAUGAACCGUUACAGCCGG
This 224-nucleotide ribosomal RNA is filed under the name Klebsiella pneumoniae. Its description in RNAcentral is "partial 23S ribosomal RNA". It matches the Rfam family "Bacterial large subunit ribosomal RNA", at positions 1 to 271 of the family's 2925-position model. The record is from RNAcentral. Lineage: Bacteria; Pseudomonadati; Pseudomonadota; Gammaproteobacteria; Enterobacterales; Enterobacteriaceae.